GCUCAAGUCAUCUGACCAUUCGGUAAGAGCAUUUGGAGAGGUGUAUCCUGUCUUGGGAAGCAAGGCUUCCAGGGCCAAUGUGGGCAUAUAUUGAAGAGGAUUCCAGAGACAGGCUGUUGAGAAAGAAGAGGUGUCCAAGUCGGCUCCCCCAGGGACACAAAAGGCCCUGUAGUGAUGAAGGGGAGUGGUUAAUUGACAGAGGCAUUUCCAAGCCCCGCCCUGCCCUCAUCACUUGGAUGCUGUAGUGGCUAUUCCUGGUUGUCAACUUGACUAUAUCUGGAAUGAACUACAGUCUAGAAUUGGAAGGCUCACCUAUGAUCCUAAUUUGGAGGCUCAGAGAUAUAAGUUUCUGACCUGGAUCUUGGCAUGGAGACCUUGAAGCAUAGUGGCUAAGACAAGGAGAUCUCCGAGUUCAAGAUCAUUUGGGAUUCAAGGCAUGGAUGCACACACCUUUAAUCUGGGCCACACCCUCUGCUGGAGACCCACAUGACAAUAAUCUGGGUCACACCCUCUGUUGGAGACCUACAGCCUUUAAUUUGGGCUAUACCCUCUGCUGGAGAUAUAUAAGGACAUUGGAAGAAGGAAGAUGCUCACUCACUCUUCCUUGCCUGCUUGCUUCGUGGGACUGAGAAACUGCUAGAUCCUUGGACUUCCAUCCACAGCUGCUGCUGAUCAUUGUUGGGGAGCUGGACUAUAGACUACAAGGAAUGGACUUUUGGAUGGCCACCUAAGUCGCUGAGAAACAGACAUCAAGGCACAUGUACACAGGGCUGACAACUAGUUCUGUGGCAGAGCAUCAUGACCCUGAGAACUCCUUACCAUAUUUGACAUCUGUCUUUUACUGGGUUUAUUUCCAUAUGACUUCUGAAUGGUUAUUUAAUAAAAAGCCACUGAAAUGU
Long non-coding RNA from Apodemus sylvaticus (European woodmouse), 899 nucleotides. RefSeq lists it as uncharacterized. The record is from RefSeq and is a predicted model, not a curated record. Lineage: Eukaryota; Metazoa; Chordata; Mammalia; Rodentia; Muridae. The transcript has 3 exons.